UCUUCCAGUAACCAGUAGAUCUGAAGAGC
RNAcentral lists this non-coding RNA (29 nucleotides) under Rattus norvegicus (Norway rat). Lineage: Eukaryota; Metazoa; Chordata; Mammalia; Rodentia; Muridae. The record is from RNAcentral.